UACAGAGGGUGCAAGCGUUGUUCGGAAUUAUUGGGCGUAAAGCGCGUGUAGGCGGCUUUGCAAGUCGGGUGUGAAAGCCCUCAGCUCAACUGAGGAAGUGCGCCCGAAACUGCAUGGCUUGAGUACCGGAGAGGAUGGUGGAAUUCCCCAAGUAGAGGUGAAAUUCGUAGAUAUGGGGAGGAACACCGGUGGCGAAGGCGACCAUCUGGACGGAUACUGACGCUGAGACACGAAAGCGUGGGUAGCAAACAGG
This 253-nucleotide ribosomal RNA is filed under the name uncultured bacterium. RNAcentral's name for it is "partial 16S ribosomal RNA". It matches the Rfam family "Bacterial small subunit ribosomal RNA", at positions 524 to 776 of the family's 1533-position model. The record is from RNAcentral.